CCUAAUACAUGCAAGUCGAACGAACUCUGGUAUUGAUUGGUGCUUGCAUCAUGAUUUACAUUUGAGUGAGUGGCGAACUGGUGAGUAACACGUGGGAAACCUGCCCAGAAGCGGGGGAUAACACCUGGAAACAGAUGCUAAUACCGCAUAACAACUUGGACCGCAUGGUCCGAGUUUGAAAGAUGGCUUCGGCUAUCACUUUUGGAUGGUCCCGCGGCGUAUUAGCUAGAUGGUGGGGUAACGGCUCACCAUGGCAAUGAUACGUAGCCGACCUGAGAGGGUAAUCGGCCACAUUGGGACUGAGACACGGCCCAAACUCCUACGGGAGGCAGCAGUAGGGAAUCUUCCACAAUGGACGAAAGUCUGAUGGAGCAACGCCGCGUGAGUGAAGAAGGGUUUCGGCUCGUAAAACUCUGUUGUUAAAGAAGAACAUAUCUGAGAGUAACUGUUCAGGUAUUGACGGUAUUUAACCAGAAAGCCACGGCUAACUACGUGCCAGCAGCCGCGGUAAUACGUAGGUGGCAAGCGUUGUCCGGAUUUAUUGGGCGUAAAGCGAGCGCAGGCGGUUUUUUAAGUCUGAUGUGAAAGCCUUCGGCUCAACCGAAGAAGUGCAUCGGAAACUGGGAAACUUGAGUGCAGAAGAGGACAGUGGAACUCCAUGUGUAGCGGUGAAAUGCGUAGAUAUAUGGAAGAACACCAGUGGCGAAGGCGGCUGUCUGGUCUGUAACUGACGCUGAGCUCGAAAGUAUGGGUAGCAAACAGGAUUAGAUACCCUGGUAGUCCAUACCGUAAACGAUGAAUGCUAAGUGUUGGAGGGUUUCCGCCCUUCAGUGCUGCAGCUAACGCAUUAAGCAUUCCGCCUGGGGAGUACGGCCCGCAAGGCUGAAACUCAAAGGAAUUGGACGGGGGCCCCGCACAAGCGGUGGAGCAUGUGGUUUAA
This 940-nucleotide ribosomal RNA is filed under the name Lactiplantibacillus pentosus. RNAcentral describes it as "bacterial SSU rRNA". It matches the Rfam family "Bacterial small subunit ribosomal RNA", at positions 47 to 949 of the family's 1533-position model. The record is from RNAcentral. Lineage: Bacteria; Bacillati; Bacillota; Bacilli; Lactobacillales; Lactobacillaceae.